UUCCAUUUCAGAACCAUCCUCAGAGAUAUAGUUUCAUGUUUUUCAUAUCUCGAGGAUGGUUCUGAAAUAUAAAA
Molecule: non-coding RNA, 74 nt
Organism: Paramuricea clavata
Lineage: Eukaryota; Metazoa; Cnidaria; Anthozoa; Malacalcyonacea; Plexauridae
Source: the annotation of a GenBank genome assembly